This 746-nucleotide long non-coding RNA is filed under the name Anser cygnoides (Swan goose). Its description in RNAcentral is "lncRNA (ENSACDG00005005094.1)". Lineage: Eukaryota; Metazoa; Chordata; Aves; Anseriformes; Anatidae. The record is from RNAcentral.
AUGUGUCUGCAGAUUCUUCCAGAGCACCAGUUUUCUCCAUCCAAAACAGUCCCAGAGCCAAGAACACUUUGGCUGCUAGAAACAUUGGCCAGAAAUAAGAAUAGUACGGAGAAGGAACUUGUGAAUUUCCUUCAGGGUUUUACCAUUAAUUGCGAACAAUCCUGCUAUCUCCUGGCUCUAGCAGUGGUUUGGGCAAAUCAGGCAUGUUAUCAGGUACAGAGGAGAAAAGUCAACCACAGGGCUAGUCUGGAGGUGCUGAGGUUUUUGAGGGCUGUUGCACAAACUUCAGAGGGGAUCAAGACUCUUGGAAAUGUUUUCAUACCGAAGAAAAAGGAGAUACCCAAAAUCCAUAUUUUGAUAUAUUUUAAACAAUACUGAAGAGGAAACCUAAGGCUGUAAGAACAAGCUACUCAGAAGAUUGAAUAAGUGUUAUAUACAGAUACACAUAAAUUGUUAGAUGUUUUUCUAUUAAGCUAGAUAUGAUAUGGUUUUGGCCAUGGAAAAAGAGUGGAAACUUAGUGCUCUGGUAGAAAAUUACUGUCUGGCCAUUUGUUACGAACUAGUGUUUGUCCUUUCCAGUGUCUGGACCUACUUUUCUUGGUGUACUUUCAUGACCUGUCAGGCUUAAUGUAUGAGAUAAGAUAAACCUGUAUUUUUUGGGGGUGGUGAAGAUACCAAGCCAUUUCAUCUGUAAGUAUGCAUUAGUGUUAAAUAAAUUUUGUUUUGCUUUGUUUUAAUACCUAAGU